UGGCGGCGUGCCUAAUACAUGCAAGUCGAGCGGAUCGAUGGGAGCUUGCUCCCUGAGAUCAGCGGCGGACGGGUGAGUAACACGUGGGUAACCUGCCUGUAAGACUGGGAUAACUCCGGGAAACCGGGGCUAAUACCGGAUAAUUCAGUUCCUCGCAUGAGGAACUGUUGAAAGGUGGCUUUUCGCUACCACUUACAGAUGGACCCGCGGCGCAUUAGCUAGUUGGUGAGGUAACGGCUCACCAAGGCAACGAUGCGUAGCCGACCUGAGAGGGUGAUCGGCCACACUGGGACUGAGACACGGCCCAGACUCCUACGGGAGGCAGCAGUAGGGAAUCUUCCGCAAUGGACGAAAGUCUGACGGAGCAACGCCGCGUGAGUGAAGAAGGUUUUCGGAUCGUAAAACUCUGUUGUUAGGGAAGAACAAGUGCCGUUCGAAUAGGGCGGCACCU
Molecule: ribosomal RNA, 451 nt
Filed under: Bacillus sp. 12a(2010)
Lineage: Bacteria; Bacillati; Bacillota; Bacilli; Caryophanales; Bacillaceae
Description: bacterial SSU rRNA
Rfam family: Bacterial small subunit ribosomal RNA
Source: RNAcentral